AGUGAACGCUGGCGGCAGGCCUAACACAUGCAAGUCGAACGGCAGCACAGAGGAGCUUGCUCCUUGGGUGGCGAGUGGCGGACGGGUGAGGAAUACGUCGGAAUCUGCCUAUUUGUGGGGGAUAACGUAGGGAAACUUACGCUAAUACCGCAUACGACCUACGGGUGAAAGUGGGGGACCUUCGGGCCUCACGCAGAUAGAUGAGCCGACGUCGGAUUAGCUAGUUGGCGGGGUAAAGGCCCACCAAGGCGACGAUCCGUAGCUGGUCUGAGAGGAUGAUCAGCCACACUGGAACUGAGACACGGUCCAGACUCCUACGGGAGGCAGCAGUGGGGAAUAUUGGACAAUGGGCGCAAGCCUGAUCCAGCCAUGCCGCGUGUGUGAAGAAGGCCUUCGGGUUGUAAAGCACUUUUGUCCGGAAAGAAAAGCUUAGGGUUAAUAACCUUGAGUCAUGACGGUACCGGAAGAAUAAGCACCGGCUAACUUCGUGCCAGCAGCCGCGGUAAUACGAAGGGUGCAAGCGUUACUCGGAAUUACUGGGCGUAAAGCGUGCGUAGGUGGUUUGUUAAGUCUGAUGUGAAAGCCCUGGGCUCAACCUGGGAAUGGCAUUGGAAACCGGCUUACUAGAGUGCGGUAGAGGGGUGUGGAAUUCCCGGU
RNAcentral lists this ribosomal RNA (657 nucleotides) under uncultured Lysobacter sp. RNAcentral describes it as "bacterial SSU rRNA". It matches the Rfam family "Bacterial small subunit ribosomal RNA", at positions 28 to 674 of the family's 1533-position model. The record is from RNAcentral. Lineage: Bacteria; Pseudomonadati; Pseudomonadota; Gammaproteobacteria; Lysobacterales; Lysobacteraceae.